AAUUUUGGACAAUUGGCGCAAGCCUCAUCCAGCCAUGCCGCGUGAGUGACUAAGUCCUUCGGGUUGUAAAGCCCUUUCGUACGGAAAGAAAUCGCGCAGGCUAAUAUCCUUCGCGGAUUACGGCACCGCCAUAAGAAGCACCGGCAAACUACGUUCCUACAGCCGCGGUAAUACGUAGGGUUCGGUCGUUAAUCGGAAUUACUGGGCGUAAAGCGUGCGCAGGCGGUUGAUUAAGACAGGCGUGAAAUCACCGGGCUUAACCUGGGAACUGCGCUUGAGACUGGUCAGCUAGAGUACGGCAGAGGAGGGUGGAAUUCCACGUGUAGCAGUGAAAUGCGUAGAGAUGUGGAGGAACACCGAUGGCGAAGGCAGCCCCCUGGGCCGAUACUGACGCUCAUGCACGAAAGCGUGGGUAGCAAACAGG
Molecule: ribosomal RNA, 424 nt
Filed under: uncultured bacterium
Lineage: Bacteria
Description: partial 16S ribosomal RNA
Rfam family: Bacterial small subunit ribosomal RNA
Source: RNAcentral